RNAcentral lists this non-coding RNA (36 nucleotides) under Mus musculus (house mouse). Lineage: Eukaryota; Metazoa; Chordata; Mammalia; Rodentia; Muridae. The record is from RNAcentral.
UCUGCAAAAGGUCAGGCUGGUGUCAGGCAGCCCAGC